GUGUUUCGAGUUCCUCCGGAACACCCGGGAUUUUUCGUAUUUAGCCACGCCGGUCACGUGAUAUGAGCAAAAUGUUCCACAGGGGUACUUCCGGUUAAUUUUGUUUACACUGGUAACAAAAUUGUUUUUGACAAAAUAUAGAUUUUGCGGCACAAACUGUCGCAAAUCAGAUAAAGGAUAGCAAGGGAUAUAUAUUUACUUGGGAAGAUGUCAAAGUUUACCUUUUCCCACACCCGGGAAAAGCGUUCACGCAGAGGAAACGAUGGCGUCAUUUGUGUAGAAAACCACGACCAGCCGAAAUUGAGUGCGAUUAUUACAUUCCGUGAAAGCUGAACCAACAAAGAAACAUCAUUGUUCUAGCCAGUUUCCUUAUAUUAACUUUUAGGAAAACCAAGAGGUUGAUAACAAUGGCUGAUCUGCAUAUAAUAACUGCUAGUUAUUGGCUGGUAUGCAGUGAAAGGGAGCUAAAAAGGAGUAAAAAGUUCAUAUCAGCCAGGUAGUGUGGCUUAAAUAAACCAGUGUUAAGGAAUAUCCAGUAAUGGCAUGACAUCAUGAGAGUUUGGCAUACCGACAUUCAGAUGAUUAAUGAUGAAACUGAAGACCUCAGGUGAAAGGCAUGGAAAAUGAUCCUGUUCCCAUAUACCUGAAAAAGAGGAGGGAUGCCACAAUAUUGAUAAUAGACUUUUGUCAAUUUGAGAAGCAAAGAUGUAAAAAAAAAAAAAAAAAAUAAUAAUGCUGAAAUUAUAAUUCAUGUAUUUGUUAAAAAUACUGUUCACUGUACAUACAUGUAUAUUUUUUUUUAACUUAUUUGGAAAUACAUGAAGUAAUUCAUAUUAAAACUGUGAAUGUAUGAGUUUUCAUGAUUUUAUUUAUAUUUAAGUCAAUUCACCUUUUUCAAACUUUUGAUGCAUAUGAUGGAUUUCCUCUGCAUUGCUAUAUCUAUCAGGCCCAGCACAAUCUCUAUAUUUAGCUAUAUAGUUUUAUAAAGCUAUUUCAAACAGCUUCAUUAAGCUAGUUUCGAUUAAAUUUCUUAAGUGCAAUGACACAUAACAAUAUACAUGUACUUUGAACUAACUACAACACUAUUCUAGGUAUAGAUCAUAUGUCAUUUUAAGAAUUUUCAUGAAAAGAGAAUUUCUUUUGUAUUGAUAACUGUCCACUACCUUGUGUGUGUCGAAGCUUUGAUAAGUAUAUGAUGACUUUACAAUGUGGAAUCUGUAACAACUUAAUAAUCCUAAACAUUUGACAAUUUUGAAUCAAAAUUCUUCCUAAGGUACAUAGUUUAAGAA
Molecule: long non-coding RNA, 1289 nt
Organism: Ostrea edulis (European flat oyster)
Lineage: Eukaryota; Metazoa; Mollusca; Bivalvia; Ostreida; Ostreidae
Exons: 3
Source: RefSeq, a predicted model, not a curated record